GGUUUGAUCAUGGCUCCAGGGUCAGACGCUGGCGGGAUGCUUUACGCAUGCAAGUCAGGCAGCGGCACGGACUUCAGUCUGGUGGCGAGUGGCGAACAGGUGGUAUCGGAGCGGUACCUGGUAACGGGGGAUAACUACGCGGCAGCUAAUACCACGCGCGCUCGCAAAGGGGAAAGCGGGGGACCUUCCGGGCACUCGCACUAUUGAAGCGGCCGAUAUCGGAUUAGCUAGUUGGUGGUGGGGUAACGGCUCGCAGGCGACGAUCCGUAGCUGGUUUGAGAGGACGACCAGCCACACUGGGACUGAGACACGGCCAGGCUCUCCGGAGCAGCAGUGGUACACCUGGACAAUGGGGGAAACCCUGAUGCAGCCAUCCCGCGUGUGCGAUGAAGGCCUUCGGGUUGUAAAGCACUUUUGGCAGGAAAACAUAUGCGGAUAAUACCCCGCGCAACUGAAAUGAACACCUGCGGGCAAGCGCGGCUGUACGUGCCAGCGGCCGCGAUACGUACGUAGGGUGGCGUUAAUCGGAAUUACUGGGCAUGCCGUCAUUGCGCAGGCGGUUCGGAAAGAAAGAUGUGAAAUCCCGGAGGCUUAACUUUGGAACUGCAUUUUAACUUCACCGGAAAAGCUACAGAGUGUGUGUCAGGGUAGAUUCCGCGUGUAGCAGUGAAAUGCGUGAAUAUGCGGAAGAACACGGCUGGCGGCAGCCUCCUGGGAUAGCACUGACGCUCAUGCGAAAGCGUGGGGAACAACAGGAUUGAAUACCUAGUGAUCACCGCCCUAAACGAUCAACUAGCUGUUGGAGCCUUCUGGGCAGCGGUAGCGCAACUAACGCGUGAAGUUGACCGCCUGGGGAGUACGAUGCACCAGAUUAAAACUCAAGGAAUUGACGGGGGAUAUUGCACAAGCGUGGCUGAUGUGGAUGCAAUUCGAUGCAACGCGAAAAACCUGCCCUCUUAUGCAGGCUGCUCUGGAAUCCGAAGAGAUUUGGGAGUGCUCGCGAAGACGGAACACAGGUGCUGUGAAACAUCGUCAGCUGUGUCGUCGAGGUGUUGGUUGAUCCGCAACGAGCGCAACCCUUGUCAUUAGUUGCUACGAGGGCACUGUGGAACUGCCGGUGACAAACCGGAGGAAGGUGAGGAUGACGCCAAAGUCUCUGCUGUGCCGCAGUGGGCGCUACCCACGUCAUCCCGCAAUGGUCGGGACAGAGGGUCGCCAACCCGCAGGGGGAGCCAAUCCCGAAGCCGAUCGUAGUCGGAUCGCAGUCUGCAGCUUCUCGACUGCAUUGAAGUCAGAAUCAUGUCGCGGAUCGGCAUGUCGCGGUGAAUACGUUCCCGGGUCUUGUACACACCGCCCGUCACACAUGGGGUGGGUUUGAAAUGCAGUUAGCCCUAGCAUGAAAGCAGCCAAAGGAGGGCGAUUACCACGGUAGGAUUCUUAUUGCGGGGUGAGUCGUAACAAGGUAG
Molecule: ribosomal RNA, 1466 nt
Filed under: uncultured Bordetella sp.
Lineage: Bacteria; Pseudomonadati; Pseudomonadota; Betaproteobacteria; Burkholderiales; Alcaligenaceae
Description: partial 16S-23S ribosomal RNA intergenic spacer
Rfam family: Bacterial small subunit ribosomal RNA
Source: RNAcentral